AUCAAUAAAAUCUGUUGCGGCAGUACAUGGCUUCUGAAGUGACGAGUAACAGUAAUCAUGCCAGGUUAAUCCAAGCUCAGUCCGUUGGUAUGCCCCAUGGCUGGAUUUGCUUGCUUUGCUGUGUACUGGAGGUGCUCAAUGAAAUCCGUCAGUUUGCUCUUGGUCUUGGAGGAUUACGGAAGAGGAUAUGUAGAUCCUUCCAAUCCCUAGCAAUGUACUAGAAGUUAUAAAUGGUGGUCAGUAUCAGGUAUCAUUUUUUUUCUGAAUCUAGGCAAUCAAAUAUAUCCUCUUGUAUAUAUCCAAUAAAAUUGACAGAGGAAGGCUUAGCUGCUAACCGUUAGGUGAAGUAAGGUUUGUUUCCUAUCUUAUGUAGUUUGUCGAAAAGAAAGGGCUUUCACCACCAUGAGUGUUCCACAAAAAUUAGACUUCAUGCUUGGUAAUACAUGAAGCUACAGUCUUUAUAGAUAUCCUUUAUAGAUCAAGGAUAUACAUUAUCAUCUGCAUUCAUCUGGUGUUUUUUUAUGACAGAUGGUUGUGGCUGAAACCAGACAUCUUCACUGAGAUUUAGAUGGACAGGAUAAGAGUGUCGAGAAAGCAUUGGAAUUCA
Molecule: long non-coding RNA, 607 nt
Filed under: Triticum aestivum (bread wheat)
Lineage: Eukaryota; Viridiplantae; Streptophyta; Magnoliopsida; Poales; Poaceae
Description: long non-coding RNA (TAES_LNC006841)
Source: RNAcentral